RNAcentral lists this ribosomal RNA (670 nucleotides) under Paenibacillus hunanensis. Its description in RNAcentral is "bacterial SSU rRNA". It matches the Rfam family "Bacterial small subunit ribosomal RNA", at positions 89 to 746 of the family's 1533-position model. The record is from RNAcentral. Lineage: Bacteria; Bacillati; Bacillota; Bacilli; Caryophanales; Paenibacillaceae. RNAcentral also lists the same sequence under 1 other name.
GACUUAGCGGCGGACGGGUGAGUAACACGUAGGCAACCUGCCCUUUAGCCUGGGAUAACUACCGGAAACGGUAGCUAAUACCGGAUACUUUCUUUUUCUGCAUGGGAGAAGAACGAAAGACGGAGCAAUCUGUCACUGAAGGAUGGGCCUGCGGCGCAUUAGCUAGUUGGUGGGGUAACGGCUCACCAAGGCGACGAUGCGUAGCCGACCUGAGAGGGUGAUCGGCCACACUGGGACUGAGACACGGCCCAGACUCCUACGGGAGGCAGCAGUAGGGAAUCUUCCGCAAUGGGCGAAAGCCUGACGGAGCAACGCCGCGUGAGUGAUGAAGGUUUUCGGAUCGUAAAGCUCUGUUGCCAGGGAAGAACGUCUUGGAGAGUAACUGCUCCGAGAGUGACGGUACCUGAGAAGAAAGCCCCGGCUAACUACGUGCCAGCAGCCGCGGUAAUACGUAGGGGGCAAGCGUUGUCCGGAAUUAUUGGGCGUAAAGCGCGCGCAGGCGGCCGUUUAAGUCCGGUGUUUAAUCCCGAAGCUCAACUUCGGGUCGCACUGGAAACUGGAGGGCUUGAGUGCAGAAGAGGAGAGUGGAAUUCCACGUGUAGCGGUGAAAUGCGUAGAGAUGUGGAGGAACACCAGUGGCGAAGGCGACUCUCUGGGCUGUAACUGACGC